RNAcentral lists this long non-coding RNA (1443 nucleotides) under Sorghum bicolor (sorghum). RNAcentral describes it as "long non-coding RNA (SBIC_LNC002424)". Lineage: Eukaryota; Viridiplantae; Streptophyta; Magnoliopsida; Poales; Poaceae. The record is from RNAcentral.
GGGCGAGUGGGCUUCGCGGCGGGGCGGCUCGGCGACGGCGAGAACUCCGGCGAGCAUGAAGGUGUGAUGGGGAAGGGGAGAAGGCACGCCGAGGGCACCAGGGUGCUCGUCGUGCCCUUGCGAGGUCGAGUCCGGGCUCACUUUGACGAGAACAGCAGCGGGGCGGAGCGCAGCGGAGGUCGGGAUCUCGGCGACUUCAAUGGCGGCGGCAAGCUUUGAUUAGGGUUUUGCGGGGGCUUGGGAGAGCGAUUAGGGCUUCUAGGGAGGCGUGCGGCGGCUGCAGGGCGCCCUUAAAUAGGUGAAGGCGAACCUCGGUUCGCGUGUGCGCAGAAACCGGGGCGGCGGCGCGGCGGCUGCCCCGUCCGAAUCGGACGGGAGGUUGGGGAUGACCACCCCGCUGACAGGUGGGGCCCCCUGGUCAGCGGCUGCGGGUGGAGAGGAGGCAGGCGGGGGCGCUGGGCUGGGCACUCGGGGCGCAAGUGCUGCGUGGCUGGGCCGCGGCCCACUCGGGCGUGCAGGGGGGGAAGGGAGGCCGGCCCAGGGCGCUUGCCCUUUUCCUUUCUCUUUUUUUUUCUUUUUAUUCAAAAGGGUUUAAACCAAAUUUUCAACACCUUUAUAAACCAAAAUUUGAUUUAUUAAUUUGGGUCGUUUUGAGAAUUGUUUUCUCUACUGCUUUUGAAAACAAAGCAUUUUUUUUCUUAAUAACAUAUUUUUAAAUUAUUUUUCCACUCAAAUAUAAAUUAGUUUUCAAAUAUGACUUUUGGAGUUUUAUUUUUUUGAAAACCGAAAGGACCUAAACGUGCUCUCUAGAAAUUUUGAAAUUCAUUUUUCUGAGACAAGCCAAACAAAGCUAGGGCACAAAACACACAUCAAAUAAAACACCCUCCACUUAAUUUAUUAAAAGUUUUAAAAUUCCACAUUUUUCUCAUUUUAUAUUAACAACAAUGAAUAAAAUCUUGGAAUAUUUUACAAAAAUUUUUAAAUCCUUAAUUAAUUUAGUGUUUUCUAAUAACAAUCUAAAAUUAAAAAUUUUGGAGUGUUAUAGAUCUACCCCACUUAACAUAAAUCUCGUCCCGAGAUUUGAGGAAACUAGAGAGAAAGAUAAAGUAGAUCAUAAAAGUUGUUUCGAGACUUUCAAGACGUGAUCAAAGGAUUAAAGAUAGACAUAAAGGGUAUAGAGUAUGGUAAAGAUUGAUGACAAGGAAAGAUAAACAUAUGAGAUAGAAAUUGAUCUUUGGAUCCUGAGUUAUGAUAAGGUGCAAGGGCGAGAAGCCAACAUUAACAAGGGAUGACACAUAGGAGAUAAAGAUUAUAGUGCUCACAAUUUCCUUGAUUCCAGAUUUGUAUGAGAUAGUAGACGAAAGGAUAAAGAAAAGACAAAAGUUGACAACGAUUUAGAUUUUUUUUUCACGCUUAAUUAUUUGUAGUCCUAUGAGACGUAGG